Molecule: ribosomal RNA, 494 nt
Filed under: uncultured bacterium
Lineage: Bacteria
Description: partial 16S ribosomal RNA
Rfam family: Bacterial small subunit ribosomal RNA
Source: RNAcentral
GACGAACGCUGGCGGCGUGCUUAACACAUGCAAGUCGAACGGAAAGGCCUGCUUUCCCUUGUGGAUUGCGGGUACUCGAGUGGCGAACGGGUGAGUAACACGUGAGUGAUCUGCCCCCAACUUGGGUAUAAGCCUGGGAAACUGGGUCUAAUUCCCGAUAGGACUGCAGGGUGGUGCCUGUGGUGGAAAACGAUUUUCUAGUGGGUGGGGAUGAGCUCGCGGCCUAUCAGCUUGUUGGUGGGGUAAUGGCCUACCAAGGCGGCGACGGGUAGCCGGCCUGAGAGGGUGGACGGCCACAUUGGGACUGGGAUACGGCCCAGACUCCUACGGGAGGCAGCAGUGGGGAAUAUUGCACAAUGGGCGGAAGCCUGAUGCAGCGACGCCGCGUGGGGGAUGACGGCCUUCGGGUUGUAAACUCCUUUCGACCGCGAGGAAGCCACCUGGUUGGAAGGGUGGUGACGGUAGUGGUAGAAGAAGCACCGGCUAACUACGUG